AUCUGAAUAGUUUAAAUAAAAUAUUGGUUUGUGGUGCCGAUGAUAUAAUUUUUUUAUUUUGGAUU
This 65-nucleotide transfer RNA is filed under the name Koutabatermes spinifer. RNAcentral's name for it is "tRNA-His". Lineage: Eukaryota; Metazoa; Arthropoda; Insecta; Blattodea; Termitidae. The record is from RNAcentral.